Molecule: transfer RNA, 72 nt
Filed under: Ruminococcus flavefaciens
Lineage: Bacteria; Bacillati; Bacillota; Clostridia; Eubacteriales; Oscillospiraceae
Also listed under: 5 other names
Description: tRNA-Thr
Rfam family: tRNA
About the family: Transfer RNA (tRNA) molecules are approximately 80 nucleotides in length.
Source: RNAcentral
GCCUCGUUAGCUCAGCGGUAGAGCAGCUCACUCGUAAUGAGCAGGUCGAGAGUUCAAAUCUCUUGCGAGGCU